AGAGUUUGAUCCUGGCUCAGAUUGAACGCUGGCGGCGUGCCUAACACAUGCAAGUCGAGCGGUAACAGGUGUAGCAAUACAUGCUGACGAGCGGCGGACGGGUGAGUAACGCUUGGGAAUCUGCCUAUUAGUGGGGGACAACCCGGGGAAACUCGGGCUAAUACCGCAUACGCACUACGGUGGAAAGUCGGGGACCGCAAGGCCUGGCGCUAAUAGAUGAGCCCAAGUCGGAUUAGCUAGUUGGUAGGGUAAUGGCCUACCAAGGCGACGAUCCGUAACUGGUCUGAGAGGACGACCAGUCACACCGGAACUGAGACACGGUCCGGACUCCUACGGGAGGCAGCAGUGGGGAAUAUUGGACAAUGGGCGAAAGCCUGAUCCAGCGACGCCGCGUGGGUGAAGAAGGCCUGCGGGUUGUAAAGCCCUUUCAGUGGGGAAGAAAAGCCUCGACCUAACACGUCGGGGUCUUGACGUAACCCAUAGAAGAAGCACCGGCUAACUCUGUGCCAGCCGCCGCGGUAAUAC
This 525-nucleotide ribosomal RNA is filed under the name uncultured bacterium. RNAcentral's name for it is "bacterial SSU rRNA". It matches the Rfam family "Bacterial small subunit ribosomal RNA", at positions 8 to 526 of the family's 1533-position model. The record is from RNAcentral.